ACAUUGGAACUGAGACACGGUCCAAACUCCUACGGGAGGCAGCAGUGAGGAAUAUUGGUCAAUGGACGGAAGUCUGAACCAGCCAAGUAGCGUGCAGGAUGACGGCCCUAUGGGUUGUAAACUGCUUUUGUAUGGGGAUAAAGUUAGGGACGUGUCCCUAUUUGCAGGUACCAUACGAAUAAGGACCGGCUAAUUCCGUGCCAGCAGCCGCGGUAAUACGGAAGGUCCAGGCGUUAUCCGGAUUUAUUGGGUUUAAAGGGAGCGUAGGCUGGAGAUUAAGUGUGUUGUGAAAUGUAGACGCUCAACGUCUGAAUUGCAGCGCAUACUGGUUUCCUUGAGUACGCACAACGUUGGCGGAAUUCGUCGUGUAGCGGUGAAAUGCUUAGAUAUGACGAAGAACUCCGAUUGCGAAGGCAGCUGACGGGAGCGCAACUGACGCUUAAGCUCGAAGGUGCGGGUAUCAAACAGGAUUAGAUACCCUGGUAGUCCGCACAGUAAACGAUGGAUGCCCGCUGUUGGUACCUGGUAUCAGCGGCUAAGCGAAAGCAUUAAGCAUCCCACCUGGGGAGUACGCCGGCAACGGUGAAACUCAAAGGAAUUGACGGC
RNAcentral lists this ribosomal RNA (606 nucleotides) under uncultured bacterium. RNAcentral describes it as "bacterial SSU rRNA". It matches the Rfam family "Bacterial small subunit ribosomal RNA", at positions 310 to 917 of the family's 1533-position model. The record is from RNAcentral.